AUACGGAGGGUGCAAGCGUUAAUCGGAAUUACUGGGCGUAAAGCGCGCGUAGGCGGAUAUUUAAGUCUCAUGUGAAAGCCCUGGGCUCAACCUGGGAACUGCAUGGGAUACUGGGUAUCUAGAAUACAGUAGAGGGUAGUGGAAUUUCAGGUGUAGCGGUGAAAUGCGUAGAGAUCUGAAGGAACAUCAGUGGCGAAGGCGACUACCUGGACUGAUAUUGACGCUGAGGUGCGAAAGCGUGGGGAGCAAACGGAAUUAGAAACCCCUGUAGUCC
Molecule: ribosomal RNA, 274 nt
Filed under: uncultured bacterium
Lineage: Bacteria
Description: partial 16S ribosomal RNA
Rfam family: Bacterial small subunit ribosomal RNA
Source: RNAcentral